GGGGGGAGGUCGGAUCCUGGGCUGUGUCCCUGGCCCGGUGCUCCUGGGCCUGCGCUGUGGAAUCACGCUCCCGGCCGGGGCAGCCCCCU
This 89-nucleotide microRNA precursor is filed under the name Canis lupus familiaris (dog). RNAcentral describes it as "mir-8799 microRNA precursor family". It matches the Rfam family "mir-8799 microRNA precursor family". The record is from Rfam by way of RNAcentral. RNAcentral also lists the same sequence under 1 other name. Lineage: Eukaryota; Metazoa; Chordata; Mammalia; Carnivora; Canidae.